UCUAAAGUGCAGAAAUCCACACCAAGCUGUAGAAGCCUUGUUCCUUAUGUGACACGAGAGCAGACGUCAUCGCCACGAGCAGUGUAAAGUCCUGGGGGAGCCGAUCUCUUAUCUCUUAUCAAGCAGCCAUGAAUAGUUUUGGAUCAGUGAAGGACUCAGGACCUUGCGCUGCCCAGCCUUCGCACACGCUGGAGGCUGGAGGUUUUCUCCUCUUUAUGGCUGCUGGUGAAAAGAUCCCAUUAAGGUGCACAAGCAAUGUGUUGCUUCCAGCAGCCGAGCCUGGCCGCGCUGAUGCCAGGAGCAAGCUCCGUGCUCAAAGCCCAGCACCCAACGAUGAGUGUCUCGAUCGCUCACCAUUACUGCACAACAGAUUUACAAAGUAUUGCUUUGUAGUAAUGCAUUAAAAAUGGGCUAUGGGGAUAUGAAUUGUGAAAUGGGAUCCUAAUCUGUUUUCUGUCCCCAGGUUUCACACCUGUGUGCGCUUCUCUCUGUGUUGAGGUCCUCGAUGCAAGAAUUGGGUGAAAAGCAGGCACUAAGGGGAGCGAACUGAGUGUUCGGAAGGUGAAACUGCAGCUCCGGGUGGCUUGGGAGAAGCAACGAAGAGGCUGUUAAUUGGGGAUAUCCCAAUUAGAGGAUCUCAGGGUCAGGAAACAGACUGCAAUUGCAGAGCUGAUGCUGCAGUGGACCUCAGGAGCAACCCUCAGCCCUGUGGCAGGCAGGAGGGUGCCCUGCUGGAAAAGCAGCCGCUUGUCCCCAAGGGUUAGGGGCAGGGCCAGGAGGGGCAGGUCAUUAAAAUCCAGCGCUAGCUGGAUUGUCCUCCAGAGGCAGGGAAAACUGUAGGCAGAACAAAAGACGCAGCUCAUGAAGGUGGCUUAUAAAUAAUUACCAUUACAAGCUUUAAAUAGCCUUGAGUUUCUCAGAAGGACGAGGCUCAGGGGCAGGGCUGGGCCCUUCCCAUCAAUGCCAGCACGGGCUGGUGGCCCCAUCGCUGCCGACAGCGGAGCAAGAAAUUGUAGGCGAUGCCCGUGCUUGGAAAAGCGCGGGGAAACCUCGGGGCAGGCUGGCUGCUCCUGCACGCCCGGCUCAAUUCCUGCCCCGCCUGGCUGGAAUUUCUCAUCCCCCAUCCCAUCCAUCACGGUUUUGUUCCUGUAAACUUAAAAGGAGUCGGAUUACUUCUGAACCGAUCCCCAAUGAAUUACCCCUGGUGAACAUCGUGCAAAGCAGCGAUUUUUUAUCUCGUUCCCACUCGUGUGAGCGGUACCCUGCUGAUGGAAACCUUUGCCUACAGGCAGUGUAUUUCAGCGGUGAUGGUGGAUGAGUCUUCUGCUGCCCAUAAAAGCCAGAGAAACGCAGAGAUAUUGCUUGUGUUUUCCCAUUUUCUUUCUUUUUAUAGUUGUCUGCAUC
Long non-coding RNA from Anser brachyrhynchus (Pink-footed goose), 1404 nucleotides. Lineage: Eukaryota; Metazoa; Chordata; Aves; Anseriformes; Anatidae. The record is from Ensembl.